Non-coding RNA from Caenorhabditis elegans, 21 nucleotides. The record is from Ensembl. NCBI's taxonomy places the organism in Eukaryota, Metazoa, Nematoda, Chromadorea, Rhabditida, Rhabditidae.
UUUUGUGCCAUUAAGAGAAGC